CUGAAAUGCUGUUCGGUACUGACAUAUAGUGGCACAUAUAUUGUUUUUGCAUUAAGUCCACUUUUAAUCGAGCUGUUUUCCCAGUUGUUGCACAGUGAAUGACAAUAUCAAAGGUCCUGGUAGGCUUUCACAGCAUGGCAGCUGCUGAGAUGCUGUUUGGUACCGACAUAUAGUGGCACAUAUAGUGUUUUUGAAUUAAGUCCACUUUUAAUUGAGCUGUUUUCCCAGUUGUUGCACAGUGAAUGACAAUAUCAAAGGUCCUGGUAGGCUUUCACAGCAUGGCAGCUGCUGAGAUGCUGUUUGGUACCGACAUAUAGUGGCACAUAUAGUGUUUUUGAAUUAGGUCCACUUUUAAUCGAGCUGUUUUCCCAGUUGUUGCACAGUGCAUGACAAUAUCAAAGGUCCUGGUAGGCUUUCACUGCAUGGCAGCUGCUGAGAUUCUGUUCGGUACCGAUAUAUAGUGGCACAUAUAGUGUUUUUGCAUUAAGUCCACUUUUAAUCGAGCUGUUUUCCCAGUUGUUGCACAGUGAAUGACAAUAUCAAAGGUCCUGGUAGGCUUUCACAGCAUGGCAGCUGCUGAGAUGCUGUUUGGUACCGACAUAUAGUGGCACAUAUAGUGUUUUUGAAUUAAGUCCACUUUUAAUUGAGCUGUUUUCCCAGUUGUUGCACAGUGAAUGACAAUAUCAAAGGUCCUGGUAGGCUUUCACAGCAUGGCAGCUGCUGAGAUGCUGUUUGGUACCGACAUAUAGUGGCACAUAUAGUGUUUUUGAAUUAAGUCCACUUUUAAUCGAGCUGUUUUCCCAGUUGUUGCACAGUGAAUGACAAUAUCAAAGGUCCUGGUAGGCUUUCACAGCAUGGCAGCUGCUGAGAUGCUGUUUGGUACCG
This is a long non-coding RNA of Dermacentor silvarum, 885 nucleotides long. RefSeq lists it as uncharacterized. The record is from RefSeq and is a predicted model, not a curated record. Lineage: Eukaryota; Metazoa; Arthropoda; Arachnida; Ixodida; Ixodidae. The transcript is spliced from 6 exons.